Long non-coding RNA from Astatotilapia calliptera (eastern happy), 552 nucleotides. NCBI's taxonomy places the organism in Eukaryota, Metazoa, Chordata, Actinopteri, Cichliformes, Cichlidae. The record is from Ensembl.
GCUCCCAUGUAUGGACUGAUGUUUUGAUCCACCUGCUUCUCUGUAACCUGUGGGUGAAUCUCUCCAUCUCCUCUGGAAGCAGAGCAGUCUGAUGAAGGGGCCUGACAGAUGGUAAGUCCUUCUGUUUCAGUAUAAAGAUUUUGUGCUGGAGGGAAAGGACCCAGCAUUAAUGUGAGCUCCUCUUCUCCCUCUUUCAUGUGCAGAAAUAAUUGAUCUUGCCUCUGCUGAGCCUCUGAGUUGGGACUCUUCUCCGGCUGUGAGCUGAAAGAUGAAAGAGGAAGAAUCAUUUCUUCUGAGAAUUCAGGUGCUUCUCUUAAACAUGAAAGAACCUCUUUUUUUUUUUUUUUUUUAUCAGGGAUCAGGAAUAGAAAUAUACCAAAUUAUCUGUUGAUUGUCUGUUUUUGUCCUUGCAUUUCUGACUCAUUGGGAGAAUUCCAUUAUGAACAUACAUAUCCUAGUGGAAAUUUAAAAUAUACGAUGUGAGAAAUAUGAAGUGAAACUGCAGUGGAUGCAUCUUGACAUGUAGACGUGGCCAAGAUGACCACGUAUUCA